GGCUUUUUAGCUAGCCCGAUCAAACAACUUCAACAAACCCCUGUUAAUAACCCCUAAGUACACUAAUGUUCUUACAAACAAACCAUUUUUCCCCCUUAGU
This 100-nucleotide ribosomal RNA is filed under the name Dictyosoma rubrimaculatum. Its description in RNAcentral is "partial 16S rRNA". Lineage: Eukaryota; Metazoa; Chordata; Actinopteri; Perciformes; Stichaeidae. The record is from RNAcentral.